Molecule: long non-coding RNA, 4007 nt
Filed under: Sus scrofa (pig)
Lineage: Eukaryota; Metazoa; Chordata; Mammalia; Artiodactyla; Suidae
Description: lncRNA (ENSSSCG00055002499.1)
Source: RNAcentral
UUUUUUUUUUUUUUAAUGUUUCUGAUGUCAAACACUUCCGCUUUGAGAAUUCUUCCAUCAUCUUCUUUAUAGUUCUCUCCUCCAUAAGAUUAAGCUCACCUACCCUCUGAUUCAUUCAGUAGGAUGAGAGCUGCCCUAAAUUACUGCCAUUCUUAAAACUUCUUGGCUCCUACUCACCAUGUAGGCCAUCCCCUGCCUCUGCCUGCCCCAUCCAUGUUUUCCAUGAGUGACCUAAACUACUACUGCCUGGAAGUCUUAGCUUCAGUUUAUUUUUAUUUUCCUUUCACAAACUAUUGUUUACAUGGUCUCCACCCCCUUUGUAGAAGAUCCUCCUUCUAUGGUAGUAAAAGCCAAGUAGGGAAGUGAAGAAAGCUACCUGGAUUUGGAACCUGUGACUGAAAGAUAUAGUGACUCUUGCCCAUAUGUUGUGCAGUGCAUGAAGCCAGAAGAUAAUUUUCAAAGCCCAUCUCAAGCAAGGCUCCAAAAGUGAAAAUGGUGGUGAUGGGCCAAAAGUUCACCAGAGCAAAGGAGUGUGAUCCAUAGAUUCCCACGGGAUGGUGAAUAGUCAGAGUAUAAAAGGGACAAGACAAAUCUGAUCCAUGAAUGGGAGCCCAAAGAGAAUGACCAGAGGAGCUGGGCCACAGUAUGCUGCUGGGUUUUCAUAAGCAUAUAGAAGCAUAUUAUCCUAGAUUGAUUUUUAUAGGUUUUUAUGGAUAUUUUCAAUGAUUAAUGGAGACCAUCUUUAAAAUGAGUAGCAGUGAAAUUUAAUCUAUCCUUUCCACUUCAGUGGAAUGUGAGCUAAAUGGAUCACCUUGGACUGGUGAGUUCAAUCAGGAUUUGUAAAUAUUUACUUAUUUAUUUAGUCUUUUUGCCAUUUCUUGGGCCGCUCCCACGGCAUAUGGAGGUUCCCAGGCUAGGGUGGCACAAGAAAUGGCAAGAAGACCAAAAAAAAAAAAAAAAAAAAAAAAAAAAAAAAAAAACACCACAAGUACAAACUGUAACCACUAAAUAUUAAGGGGUCCUGUUCUUCUUUAACUGAGUGUGUUCCAUGGCAUGGCCCAUGAACACAGAAACGUUAAGUCAGCUCUGGGCUUUAUUCAAGUUAUUAGAAGCAUCUCAGCUGAUCUUCCACCAUAUCCUCAAAGUGACCUUUCUGUGCCUCACAUUUGAAACAACUUAUGAAAACUGUUCCAUAUGUCAAACUUCAUUUCAUUCAAUUUUCUCCUGGUUGAAAAUUGACACUAAAGAUGUUUUGUCUUUCAGAACAUUUUCCUUUGGGAGCCAAAGGCCCGAUGAUGUAUAAUCCUUCCUGAAGGUUUUAUGGCAGGGCUUCACAAAGCAAACAUUUUUUUCCUCUUAUUCUAUAUCACCCUGACAAACAGAAAUGCUGAGCCAUUUAAUUACAGAGCCUGCCUGACACAUCCAGAGAGUCAAAUAUUCCAGCAGCAUCUAGCUGAAGGGGAAAAAUGCACUGAAUUCCCCGAGUUGCUUGUCAAGACAAUGACACCAAGGAAACUAGUAAAUAAUCUGGCAGGUCAGAGGGUGGAUACUACGGUGUGCCAGAGUGGUCCCCAUGGCUCUGUGUCAGCACCAUUAGCCCUGUAGCAUCUCAUCCCAUGAUGGUAAUACAUGAUCUGAGCUUUAGGCUGAGCAGCCAGGAAAUGAUGAGAACACAGGUCAGAACGAAGGUCAAGCCACAGGCCCAUAGAUCAUCUCUUGAUCUGGGUUUUACAGAAAUGUCCAGAUUGAGAGCUUGCACUCUUAAUUCUCAAACUAACUCACAAAAAGAAUCUGCACAGAUACAACUGAAUAUUCGUCCCUCUAUAUCCAAGAUGUGACAGACAGUCCCCAGGACCAGGCACGAGUGCACUGAGAUAUUAUGUCCUAUAAUGUUUCAAAGCUCCAACACAUAAUCAAAAUAUCUUAGGUUACAUCUAUUUAACGCCCUUUCUAUCCCUUUAGAAUAGUUAAUCCCUGUGAUAAUUUCCAGUCCAUUUUAUGGCAAUAACUAAAGUAUGAAAGUCACUCUCUUGAAUGCUUCUUGUUUGCAUGAUUUAUAUUUUUCUUUCUUUCUUCUAUCAAUCAUACAGUAAAAAGAAAGAAUAAAAGUAGACCUCCUAUGAAUCAGGCACUAAUCUAAGCACUGGAUUGAGCAGUGGUGACAAGGUCACUACAUUUAAGGAAAUUACAUCCGAGAGUCAGGAGGCAAAAUAAACAUGUAAUAAGAUUAUUUUGGGGUUGUAUAUGUUCUGAAUAAAAUAGUCUACAGAGUGAUACAGAAUAGAGUGGUGGGAUGCUUUCUCAGGAUGGCCAGGGAAGUUCACGUUGAAGUGAUGAUUGUUAACUUGAGAUAUGAAGGAUGAAAAUGAUAAAAGGAGGCAGCCAAGAACUAUUUGGGUGAAGAAUGUUGCAGGAAAAAGAAAUAACAUGUGUAAACGCCCUAAGACAGAAAUGAGAGGGGAUGAGCUUUAUGGAAAGAAAGGUCAGUGAGGUCAGAAAGUAUUGAAUGAAGAGUAGAGUGGACGGAAAUGACACAGGGGAGGUUUUCAGAGGACAGAUCAUGUAAUGCAUUGGAGGCAUAUAUUUUGAAAAUGAAGAAGUAAAACUGCCUUUAAUCACAAACAGUAUGAUCCCAGUUGCAUAAUACUCCAUAAAGAUUAUACCCCAAACCUAGUAGAGCCAAUAACAAAAUUUAAGAAUAGCAUAAGGUCAGUGCAUACUGCAUUUCUACAUACUAGGAAAGAAAAAUUCAAAAGUUCGGUCAAGAUAAUUAUAUUCAAAAAAUCGAAAGAAUUUAGAGGCUUACUAAUGCUUUUAACAAAAAAGCACAAAAGUCAUACAAUGAAAACUAUAAAAUAUUGCUAAGAGAAAUUUUUAAAGAUUUAUAAAAAUUAAGAGACAUUCCAUAUUAGAGACCAGGAAGACCAAAUAUUUUUAAGAUAAUAAUUCUCCCCAAAUUCAUCUAUAAUCCAAUGCUGUCUCUAUUAAAAUCCUAGCAGGCUUUCUCAUAGAAAUUAACAAUCUGGUCUUAAAAUUUAUAUGGGAAUGCAAAAAACCUAUACUAAAUGAAAUAAUUUUGAAUAAUUCAGUUUUUAAGGAUAUACCAUCUGACUUCAGGUAGUGGUGGCAUUAGAACAGACAUUUACAUCAAUGAAACAUCAUCUAGAUUUCAGAAAUAUAUCCUUAUAUUGUGAAUAAUUUAUUUUUGACAAAGGUGCCAAAUUCAAUGAAAAAGAACUGUAUUUUCAUAAAACUGCUGAAACAACUGAACAUCCAUAUUAAAAAAAAAAUUUGUCCUUAUUUCACACAACACACAAAGGUAAGCUCAAAAUGGAUCAUAGAUGUAAGUGAAAAAGCUGAAACUAUAUAUGUCUUUUAGAACAAAAUGUUGGAGAAAAUCUUUUCAAUUUAGGUUAGGCAAAUAUGACACUAACUGUAAGUUAUAAAAGAAAAUACUGAUAAAUUGAACAUUUAAAAAAACAUAGAUACUGCAGAAGACACCACUAAGAAAAUAAAAAGGCUAGCCACAGGAGAAAAUGUUUUUAAAUCACAUAUCUGAUAAAUGUUGUACCUGUCGUAUAAAUGUACAAAGAUCUCUUACAGUUCAAUAACACCAAAAAAGUCAGUUUUAAAGUGGGAAACAUUUACAUACAAAUGGACAAUAAUAACAUGAAAAGUUUCUCAACACGUUUAGAUAUCUGGGGAAUAAAAAUUAAAGCCACAAUGAGACAUUACUAUACACUCAUAGAAUGGUCAUAAAGAAAAAGACAAUCAUAAGCAUUCAGGGCAUAUGUGCAGAAAACAGAAUAUUUCAUCCACUGCUGGUGGAAAUGCAAAUUGGUACAGCCACGAUGCAAACAGGUAGGCAGUUUUUUAAUUGUUAAAUGUAUACUUACCACGUGAUCCAGCAAUUUCGCUUCCAAGUAUUUACUCAAGAGAAAUGAAAACCUAUGUUCACAUCAAGAUUUGUUCACUAAUGUUCAUAGCAACACUUUUCAUAAUAACUC